UUGCGAGUUGCAGUUUCUCUCAUUCAUAAGUAUCGGAGUGAACCGUCUUUGUAUGUCUAUAUACUUUGUUCCACCUCC
This is a long non-coding RNA of Sinocyclocheilus anshuiensis, 78 nucleotides long. RefSeq lists it as uncharacterized. The transcript is spliced from 3 exons. The record is from RefSeq and is a predicted model, not a curated record. NCBI's taxonomy places the organism in Eukaryota, Metazoa, Chordata, Actinopteri, Cypriniformes, Cyprinidae.